CCUACGGGGGGCAGCAGUGGGGAAUAUUGGACAAUGGGGGGAACCCUGAUCCAGCCAUGCCGCGUGUGUGAAGAAGGCCCUCGGGUUGUAAAGCACUUUCAGUGAGGAAGAACGCCUGGUGGUUAAUACCCAUCAGGAAAGACAUCACUCACAGAAGAAGCACCGGCUAACUCCGUGCCAGCAGCCGCGGUAAUACGGAGGGUGCGAGCGUUAAUCGGAAUUACUGGGCGUAAAGCGCGCGUAGGUGGCUUGAUAAGCCGGUUGUGAAAGCCCCGGGCUCAACCUGGGAACGGCAUCCGGAACUGUCAAGCUAGAGUGCAGGAGAGGAAGGUAGAAUUCCCGGUGUAGCGGUGAAAUGCGUAGAGAUCGGGAGGAAUACCAGUGGCGAAGGAGGCCUUCUGGACUGACACUGACACUGAGGUGCGAAAGCGUGGGUAGCAAACAGGAUUAGAUACCCGUGUAGUC
This 465-nucleotide ribosomal RNA is filed under the name Vreelandella stevensii. Its description in RNAcentral is "partial 16S ribosomal RNA". It matches the Rfam family "Bacterial small subunit ribosomal RNA", at positions 338 to 795 of the family's 1533-position model. Lineage: Bacteria; Pseudomonadati; Pseudomonadota; Gammaproteobacteria; Oceanospirillales; Halomonadaceae. The record is from RNAcentral.